Molecule: long non-coding RNA, 3684 nt
Filed under: Nicotiana tabacum (common tobacco)
Lineage: Eukaryota; Viridiplantae; Streptophyta; Magnoliopsida; Solanales; Solanaceae
Description: long non-coding RNA (NTAB_LNC015963)
Source: RNAcentral
AAACCCUAGAGACCCUCUCAUUUCUCUCAUCUCCCUCACCAAGUUCCAAACCCUAGCCGCCCCCAAAGUCUUUACCUCCAUCGGUCGCCGCCGCCGCAUUAAACCAUCCUAAUCUUCCCCAAAUCGAUACCCUAUACUCCUCGACCUUCUAUAAUCACUAUCCUACCACCUAUUUCCCCAAAAUCCCCACCCAUUUAAUUCAAAUUCAAAUCUGAGAUUCCAAAAGAAGUAAAAACCCUAAUCUGUUCCUCUUUCUAAUUCCAAUGGUUUUCAAAGCUCGAUUUGUGCCGAAAUUUAUGCCAAUCAAUUAUUCUCAGUAAGAACAAUCGAUUAGUAUCAUUUUUGGUUCUAUAAAGUCACCGCUGGCCUGCCAAACUUCGUCGUCUUCGUCAUUCGUUGGCUUACCUCAUUCGUCGUCACGCUCAUGGCCAUAAUCAGUAUAUCUUUCUCCUCAUAUCUCUUUGUUUCUUUUUCCAUUUUUGAAUUGUCACUUAUGUGUUAAUCUUGAUUAGUUUUUUUAUUGAUUCGUUUAAUUUCAGUAAAAAUAUGUUUAUUUAGUUACUUGCAUUGUUUAGUUUAAUUACAUAUUCUUAGGCUAAUUAAAUCAACUCUAGUCAACUCAGUAGAUUAAUUAGGUUUUAAUUAAUGGAUUGUUCCUGUUUCGGAUUGUUUCUGUUUGGUUUUAUCUCUGAGUUUUGCUUUAAUUAUUUGAGUUUAGAGGUUUGAAUGCCAAUUUAAUUAUGAGGGUGAAAGGGUAAUAACAAGAACCUUAAAGGGGUUAAUUGGGAAGUUAAAAUGGGGAAAAUAUCUAAAGGUUCUAGUAUUGGACAACUGUCCCUCUUUUAGUGUGAAAAUGCUGAAUUUGGAUAAAAGGACAGACACCUGUACUAAAUCUGUUAAAAAUGUUGUACUAUCUGACAUUUCUGAAUUUUAGGGUAGAAUAUUCCCUUUUUAUGAUGAUCUUUGUGCAUUCUAUAUAAGAUAUAGACCACCACUCACUCACACACACAUUCAUUAGCCUAUUUCAACUCUAAGAAUUCUCUGAAAACACACAGAAACACUGCUGCAUUUUCCUUUCUCUUGCAUUCUGAGCAGAAAACACAGAUAGAGUUCCUAGAAAUCCCUAAGAAGUCCUGAUUUUUUCUUCAUUCAUUUAUGAUCCUUCUCGAAAUGAUUUUAGGCUAAAGUUUGAAGUUUGUUUUGGGGUUAUUCAUUGUUGUUUUACCUGUUUGAUUGUUGCUGUUUUUGAGCUUGCUGAUCUAUUUCUCCAGUUUUCAGCCUUUACUUGACAUUUAUUGACUAUGUUUCAUAGAGAUAUGUGAGAUUCUCUCCUUGUAACCCUUAUGAUUGUGAAAAUACAUGAUAAAUAUGUUGAUAUUGUGCUUAAGCCCGCUACAUGUGUGCUAUGAUGUUUGUAGGAUUAUUUAUCCAUCUUUGUUCUAUGUUUGAAAUCUGAUUCAUUUGCCUAGUUGUAGUUGAAUACACAUGCUGUGUUGACUCAUUAACUGGGCUAAUGUGUUACUUUGUUCACUUAUCUUGAUGUAAGAUUGUUGUUAAAUCAAAUGAGGUCAUACAUGUUUUCUGAAUGUAUUUGUUGACUUAAGGAUAAAUUGAGAAAAUCAGGGUUUGCUUCUGUUAACUUCUGUUCCUAGAUCUCUUUGAUUAAGCAUGAAUUUAGGAUUUGGCACCUCUAUAAUAUACUGUUCGAGUGAUUGUUUGUGUUAAUGUGUAAUAGAAAAAGUCAUUUGUUGCCACAAAUAUGACGAAUGUUCAUGGAUCUGACCAUUAAUUGGUCAAACUUGUAAACCCCAAAGCUAAAAGAUUAUGUCAAGAAUGUUUGAAACAGCUGUAGUUUAAGUGUGCUCAUGUAGAAAGAUAUACAUUUUAGGACUUUAGUGUAAUUCUGAGUAUGAAUACCUUGUAUUAUCUAUUGUAGUUAAAUAGAUUUUGAACUUAAUUAUUGUAAUUAAUUUUUUAUUACUGUUAUUCGAAUCAGCCAUGAAUUUGUCAAAUUAGUGUGAUGCAAUUACAAUUAGAGUAUUGGUCUAACGUUGAGAGGUUGGGGCUAUGGGCUCGACAUUAAAGCCCAAUCUUCUGCCUAGCGAUAUUUUGAGCAAAUUUCUUUAAGAAAUGUAAAAGAAAAAGGAAAGUAGGAAAGAUUUCCAAAAAAGGGCUUUAACUAAUUAAGACUGAUAACCGCUAUGAUAGAAUGUGGGCACAUGUAAGAGAUUUUGUUGGGGCAUUUGCAUCUAUACCCGCCUUUUGUGUCACGUUUUAACUUGUGCCCGCUUUGCAAAAAAAAUUGCAAGCGUACCUGCUUUUUUGCAUAACUUCAGCAUACAGGGCUGAAGUAGCAAAGGCAAUCGCGCAAAACUUCAGCAUUCUAGUAGUCGGGCCUGAAGUUCAGCUCUAGAGCUGAAGUUUUUGUUUUGUAACUGUCGAACUUCAGCUUUAGAACUGAAGUUUUUGUUUGUAACUGACAAAGUUUUUGUUUGUAAGUUUCAGCUCUAGAGCUGAAGUUUUUGUUUUUGAACUAUCGAACUUCAGCUCUAGAGCUGAUGUUUUUGUUUUUUAACUAUCGAACUUCAGGUCUAGAGCUGAAAUUUUUGUUUGUAAGCUUCAGCUCUAGAGCUGAAGUUUUUGUUUUUUAACUAUUAAACUUCAGCUCUAGAGCUGAAGUUUUUGUUUUUAAGCUUCAGCUCGAGAGCUGAAGUUUUUGUUUUGUAACUGUCGAACUUCAACUGUAGAGCUGAAAUUUUUAUUUGUAACUGGCGAACUUUAGCUCUAGACCUGAAGUUUUUUCCGAAAAAAUAAGCUUUUUAUGUUAUCGUCCGCUUUAAAUAUAUGAAACUGGAGUCUAACGGAUACUUGAAAGUGUAUGAGUGGCAACGUCAGUGGAAAGAGGUGGAUGAUCUCCUGACAGGUACAAGGUACAGGAUAAGGCCUUGGUCUAGAAAUAGCAGAGUUUUAUGUUCUACUGUAGAGUGUCACUGAACCAGAAAAAAGCUUCAUAGCAUAAUCUGCAAUCUCCUUCGUCUCAUAUCCAACUAACACAACUACUGUAAAUAUCCCGUGUAUCAUUCUCUAGCUAGAAAUGGUGCAACCACAGUGUUAGAACACUGUAUAUCAACUCGGAUCUUCGUUGCUAUCUCUUAGUCCUUUUUAUUAAGGAUUAUCUAUAACCUCAUGCGAUCUGUUUGAUACCUUACUUUUGCAGAAAAGGGAGAAGGAGAAGUUUGAGAAAGAAGAGGCGGAUAUAACUUUGAGGAGGAGAAGGAGGAGAAAGGGGGCUGAAAUUAUUUAAAAAGUGGGUACAAGUUAAAAUUUUAAAAAAAAAAGGGUAUAAGUUAAAUGGGGCCGACCAAAUAGGGCGCCCCGUGCAAUUUUUACGAUUUUGUUUCAGCGACAUUUGGGUUUGGACAGUCUCAACCUGUUAAAGCCCAAUCAACUUAGUUAUUUGGUCGCCCCGUGCAAUUUUUAUGAUUUUGUUUCAGCGACAUUUGGGUUUGGACAGUCUCAACCUGUUAAAGCCCAAUCAACUUAGUUACUAGAUUAAUAAUUAGCCCAUUAUCCCUUCAUAAAUAAAAAUCUUCUGAUUUUAAAAAUGGAGUAGUAAGUUGUAAACAUCUCUAAAGUGGUUAAUUCGUAUAUGUUUAGACAGAGCUAAAUAUUCUUUGAUUUCCA